GACAGAGGGUGCAAACGUUGUUCGGAUUUACUGGGCGUAAAGCGUGUGUAGGCGGCUUUGCAAGUCGGAUGUGAAAUCCCACGGCUCAACCGUGGAAGUGCAUCCGAAACGGCAUCGCUUGAGUCUCGGAGAGGAAGGUGGAAUGCUUGGUGUAGAGGUGAAAUUCGUAGAUAUCAGGAGGAACACCGGUGGCGAAGGCGGGUCUCUGGGCCGAUAUUGACGCUGAGGAGCGAAAGCGUGGGGAGCGAACAGG
RNAcentral lists this ribosomal RNA (253 nucleotides) under uncultured bacterium. RNAcentral's name for it is "partial 16S ribosomal RNA". It matches the Rfam family "Bacterial small subunit ribosomal RNA", at positions 524 to 776 of the family's 1533-position model. The record is from RNAcentral.